RNAcentral lists this ribosomal RNA (1239 nucleotides) under metagenome. RNAcentral describes it as "bacterial SSU rRNA". It matches the Rfam family "Bacterial small subunit ribosomal RNA", at positions 8 to 1238 of the family's 1533-position model. The record is from RNAcentral.
AGAGUUUGAUCCUGGCUCAGGAUGAACGCUAGCUACAGGCUUAACACAUGCAAGUCGAGGGGAAACGAUAUUGGAAGCUUGCUUCCGAUAGGCGUCGACCGGCGCACGGGUGAGUAACGCGUAUCCAACCUGCCCACCACUUGGGGAUAACCUUGCGAAAGUAAGACUAAUACCCAAUGAUAUCUCUAGAAGACAUCUGAAAGAGAUUAAAGAUUUAUCGGUGAUGGAUGGGGAUGCGUCUGAUUAGCUUGUUGGCGGGGUAACGGCCCACCAAGGCAACGAUCAGUAGGGGUUCUGAGAGGAAGGUCCCCCACAUUGGAACUGAGACACGGUCCAAACUCCUACGGGAGGCAGCAGUGAGGAAUAUUGGUCAAUGGACGAGAGUCUGAACCAGCCAAGUAGCGUGCAGGAAGACGGCCCUAUGGGUUGUAAACUGCUUUUAUAAGGGAAUAAAGUGAGAGUCGUGACUCUUUUUGCAUGUACCUUAUGAAUAAGGACCGGCUAAUUCCGUGCCAGCAGCCGCGGUAAUACGGAAGGUCCGGGCGUUAUCCGGAUUUAUUGGGUUUAAAGGGAGCGUAGGCCGGAGAUUAAGCGUGUUGUGAAAUGUAGACGCUCAACGUCUGCACUGCAGCGCGAACUGGUUUCCUUGAGUACGCACAAAGUGGGCGGAAUUCGUGGUGUAGCGGUGAAAUGCUUAGAUAUCACGAAGAACUCCGAUUGCGAAGGCAGCUCACUGGAGCGCAACUGACGCUGAAGCUCGAAAGUGCGGGUAUCGAACAGGAUUAGAUACCCUGGUAGUCCGCACGGUAAACGAUGGAUGCCCGCUGUUGGUCUGAAUAGGUCAGCGGCCAAGCGAAAGCAUUAAGCAUCCCACCUGGGGAGUACGCCGGCAACGGUGAAACUCAAAGGAAUUGACGGGGGCCCGCACAAGCGGAGGAACAUGUGGUUUAAUUCGAUGAUACGCGAGGAACCUUACCCGGGCUUGAAUUGCAGAGGAAGGAUUUGGAGACAAUGACGCCCUUCGGGGCCUCUGUGAAGGUGCUGCAUGGUUGUCGUCAGCUCGUGCCGUGAGGUGUCGGCUUAAGUGCCAUAACGAGCGCAACCCCUCUCCUUAGUUGCCAUCAGGUUAAGCUGGGCACUCUGGGGACACUGCCACCGUAAGGUGUGAGGAAGGUGGGGAUGACGUCAAAUCAGCACGGCCCUUACGUCCGGGGCUACACACGUGUUACAAUGGCAGGU